ACGGAGGAUGCAAGCGUUAUCCGGAUUUAUUGGGUUUAAAGGGUGCGCAGGCGGAAUGGUAAGUCAGUGGUGAAAUCUUCCGGCUCAACCGGGAAACUGCCAUUGAUACUGCCGUUCUUGAGUAUAGUUGAAGUGGGCGGAAUGUGUCAUGUAGCGGUGAAAUGCUUAGAUAUGACACAGAACACCGAUAGCGAAGGCAGCUCACUAAGCUAUAACUGACGCUCAUGCACGAAAGCGUGGGGAUCAAACAGG
This 252-nucleotide ribosomal RNA is filed under the name uncultured bacterium. RNAcentral's name for it is "partial 16S ribosomal RNA". It matches the Rfam family "Bacterial small subunit ribosomal RNA", at positions 525 to 776 of the family's 1533-position model. The record is from RNAcentral.